UAUAACCCCUUAUCCCCUUUUUAUACCCCAAACGUAAAUUUUUUAUCCGAGAAUAAUAAUUCUCGGGUACUCGAAAUAAGCUGGUAUAACUAUUUCCACCAAUUUCUUCAUUUUCUAUAUAUAACUAUCCACUAUUUUUCUUAUUUCAUAUUUAUCUAUUCAAACAUUAUUUUUUUUAUCUCCGGAAACAAUCUAAUUUUUAUCCAAAUACUAUUUUUCUUAUCCUCAUACUUGUAUUUAUUUUUUUAAUAACUAGUUCUUGCUUAUACCCGAACCAAACAGUUCAAAGGAUAAAUACAAAAGUAGG
Molecule: long non-coding RNA, 307 nt
Filed under: Ananas comosus (pineapple)
Lineage: Eukaryota; Viridiplantae; Streptophyta; Magnoliopsida; Poales; Bromeliaceae
Description: long non-coding RNA (ACOM_LNC001438)
Source: RNAcentral